UUCUCCAACUUUACUCUUUCUCCAAAAAAGCUUUUUACUUUACUCUUUCUCCAGAUUUCUCCAAACAUUAUCGGUGUUACUCUUUCUCCAAACAUUAUCGACGAACUUUAGAUGAAGACUGAAGGUGAAGAAUUGAUAUCGAUGAACUGAGCUAGAGAUUAAAAUGAGAAAUGAUAUCGACGAACUGAACUUUAGAUGAAGAACUGAACUGAAGAAAGGCAAACUGAGCUGAAGAUGAAAUGUUGAAGCUAAAGAAAUGACGGGUGGAAUGAAGAACUGAAGUGUUGAGCUGAAGAUUCCUCCGAUAUCGUUAUUUUCAAGCGCAAGUACUGAUUUCAACAAGUGCAGUGGGAAUUAGAGGCAGAACGAUGAGCUCUGUAGUUUGAAGACGCUCCUGGUUUCUUCUCUAUCCCGAGUUUGUCGCUCCAAAAGAGUGUAAUCAACAUUCAAAAACAUUUGUGGAGGAUUCAAGGUUUGAUUUCGACUAGCACAAGUGUCAUGACUAGGCAGUGAGUAUUAGAGGCAGAACACUGAAGUCUGCAUUUUGUGGUAGCUCCUGGUUUUGUCUCUAUCCCGAGUACCUCUAUACGAGAGAGUUUUACUUAUUACAGUGAAAGAAGUCAAAGAGCGCAAAUGAAAACGAGAAGAAUGAAUCAAUCAACAAUACAAAAGAAAAAGGGUUUGAAUCUAAACAAAGCUCAAAGUCCAUUGAAGAAUGUGAACACUUUUUAGAUUAAGAGAGAACAUGUUGCAAAUGAACGCAAUAACAAAGCUAAAAAAGAGCAUGCACCAAUAGGGAAGAACUUAGUACUUCACAUAUGAUUACAGGGAAAUAUAGAAUAAACCGAGGUUAUUUCAGUCUGGAGAGUCCAUUCAAGAGAAGAAAAUUAAACUUCCUAUGCACAAAUUCGGGUUCCCAAUGUCGUCCAAGGAAGGUGCUACUACUUCUGUACAUGUGACUGGAACAACACUAGGUAAUGAACAGAAAAAAUAGUAUAUUCAGGAUCUAUUAAGUGCAAACAGGUGAAGAGGAAGUUGGUCCUACCGGCCACUACUGCAAAGAAGAUGAUGUUUAUCAUGAUCUACCAAACAUAAAACAAGGAAAGAAGAAUUCAGUCCUACCAGCUACUACUAUUGAUCAGUUUUUAAAACAACAAGGGAUAGUCAUAGGUGAUGAAAGAAAUCUGGUUAACCACACAGAAGCAAAUGUCGAGUGUAUGCAUACUCCUCAUUCUAUUCAUGAACAUAAUAAAAGUUUGGAUGAAUAAGAAGAAAUCGGCAAGGAUGAGUUUGUUAUAGACGAGGGAGAUGAUAUUGAUUGUAGUGCAAAAGGUUUAUCGAAGCAGAAAAAGGUUUGAGGAAAAACAACAUGUAAGAAUAUUCAUGCAAGAAAUUUGGAAGAAAGGGAGGAGGUGACAUUUGAUAAAGGACAAGCAGUUGGUCCUACUGGUAAGAUAGUGUCAGAAUUAACCUAUUUUAUUGGAACAAUUGCAAGGAAUACUAGAUUCAUCAGCUUGAUGUACAUUACUUGGCAUGCGGUGUCAAAAGAUAUUAAAAAGCGCAUGUGGAAAUAAAUCAAUUCUAAAUUCGUAAUACCAAUAGAAAGAAAGAAGUGGGUGAUGACUGCUCUUCGUGAUGCUUGGUGGAAACACAAACAUGUGAUUAAAGAGAAACAUUUUGAUAAAAAUAGUACUUUUGAGGAUAUGCCAGCGAAACGUCCUGAUGACAUUCCAAAAAUUCAAUUGUGCCAGUUGAUCGAGUAUUGGCAACACCCAACUGUUCAAGCCAUAUCUGAGGUGAAUUCUAAAAGCCGGAAACAACAAAAGUGUAGGCAUCGAAUGCGACCGAUUAAUUUUGCAAGAAUACGCUUGGCAUUGCUAAUACUUAUCAGCCAUAUGAAUUUCCUUUUUUCAUACUUAAUUAGAACAUGUUGAUUUUUUCAAAAUUUCUUUUUAUAUAAUUGGUAGCGAGGAUCAAAAGAAAACAACGAGGAACCAUCACAGUCUGAAAUGUUUAUUGCAACUCGUACAAAGACAGGAAAGGAAAUUCAACCCGAUACCACAGUUGCAAUAUCUAAACUUCAAAAUCGUCAAAAUUCUUGAGAAACAAUUGAUGAUGCCUUUAGGGCAGUGUUUGGAAAGGAGAAGCCUUGACGACUUAGGUGUUAUGGCAGAUCAGUGACAACAAGUUCUCUAAAAGAAGAUGAGGAAAUUAACAAGAUAAAACAAAAGCAUGCUAAUGAAAUCAGUUCUCUGAAGGAAGAAAUGAAUGAAAAAAUGAAUGAAACGAGCGAUGAAAUGUGAUAUUGUUUUCUUCAAAAUUGCUGCAAAACAACCCUGGAUUGAAUGUUCAAGAUAUACCGGGGUUGUUGGAUCUAACCUUGUUUCACCGGUUGAUGCAAGUAGAGCACAAGCUCUAAGAGGCCAGAAUAUUCCAAAUUCUUCAGGGUCAACUCAUGAUCCAAUUCUUCAAAAGGGCAGCACUUCAACGAUGUUGAUUUGUGUGGGUGAACGAAGGGAUGGACUCUAUUAUUUUUGGGUGGUACCACAAGCUAUGACAAUAAAGAAUGGGACAGACUCGCUUAAUCUUUGGCGAAAACGUCUAGGGCAUCCUUCAUUAAGGGUUACCAAGUUAGUUUCCAAUGUUAUUUCCACAAAUUACAGUGAGAUGAUGAAUAAAACUUGUGAUGUUUUUAAACGAGCUAAACAGACUAACAAUAGUUUUCUUUGAGUGAAAAUAAAGCUUGUGACGAGUUUGAACUCGUUCAUUGUGA
Molecule: RNA transcript, 2773 nt
Organism: Solanum pennellii
Lineage: Eukaryota; Viridiplantae; Streptophyta; Magnoliopsida; Solanales; Solanaceae
Exons: 10
Source: RefSeq, a predicted model, not a curated record